GUGGAAUUAGCUCAAAUGGUAGGGUGCUCACUUAGCAUGUGAGAGGCUGUGGGAUCGACGCCCGCAUUCUCCA
Ataeniobius toweri is the source of this 73-nucleotide non-coding RNA. Lineage: Eukaryota; Metazoa; Chordata; Actinopteri; Cyprinodontiformes; Goodeidae. The record is from the annotation of a GenBank genome assembly.